AAAGGAAUAGACGGGGGCCCGCACAAGCGGAGGAACAUGUGGUUUAAUUCGAUGAUACGCGAGGAACCUUACCUGGGAUUGAAAUGUAUAUGAAGGUAACCUGAAAGGGAUACUGUUCACUUCGGUGACAUAUAUGUAGGUGCUGCAUGCCUGUCGUCAGCUCGUGCCGUGAGGUGUCGGCUUAAGUGCCAUAACGAGCGCAACCCUUAUCGUUAGUUGCCAUCAGGUGAUGCUGGGGACUCUAGCGAGACUGCCGUCGUAAGGCGAGAGGAAGGUGGGGAUGACGUCAAGUCAGCACGGCCCUUAUAUCCAGGGCGACACACGUGUUACAAUGGUGAGGCCAGAGGGUAGCUACCGGGUGACCGGACGCCAAUCUCAAAAAUCUCAUCUCAGUUCGGAUCGGAGUCUGCAAUUCGACUCCGUGAAGUUGGAUUCGCUAGUAAUCGCACAUCAGCCAUGGUGCGGUGAAUAUGUUCCCGGGCCUUGUACACACCGCCCGU
Molecule: ribosomal RNA, 500 nt
Filed under: uncultured bacterium
Lineage: Bacteria
Description: bacterial SSU rRNA
Rfam family: Bacterial small subunit ribosomal RNA
Source: RNAcentral